AGGCUCAGGACGAACGCUGGCGGCGUGCUUAACACAUGCAAGUCGAACGGAAAGGCCCAGCUUGCUGGGUACUCGAGUGGCGAACGGGUGAGUAACACGUGGGUGAUCUGCCCUGAACUUUGGGAUAAGCCUGGGAAACUGGGUCUAAUACCGGAUAUGACCUUGGAGUGCAUGCUCUGGGGUGGAAAGCUUUUGCGGUUCAGGAUGGGCCCGCGGCCUAUCAGCUUGUUGGUGGGGUAAUGGCCUACCAAGGCGACGACGGGUAGCCGACCUGAGAGGGUGAUCGGCCACACUGGGACUGAGACACGGCCCAGACUCCUACGGGAGGCAGCAGUGGGGAAUAUUGCACAAUGGGCGCAAGCCUGAUGCAGCGACGCCGCGUGAGGGAUGACGGCCUUCGGGUUGUAAACCUCUUUCACCAGGGACGAAGCGCGAGUGACGGUACCUGGAGAAGAAGCACCGGCCAACUACGUGCCAGCAGCCGCGGUAAUACGUAGGGUGCGAGCGUUGUCCGGAAUUACUGGGCGUAAAGAGCUCGUAGGCGGUUUGUCGCGUCGUCUGUGAAAUUCUGCAACUCAAUUGUAGGCGUGCAGGCGAUACGGGCAGACUUGAGUACUACAGGGGAGACUGGAAUUCCUGGUGUAGCGGUGAAAUGCGCAGAUAUCAGGAGGAACACCGGUGGCGAAGGCGGGUCUCUGGGUAGUAACGAC
RNAcentral lists this ribosomal RNA (710 nucleotides) under Gordonia sp. SMCC G937. RNAcentral describes it as "bacterial SSU rRNA". It matches the Rfam family "Bacterial small subunit ribosomal RNA", at positions 20 to 744 of the family's 1533-position model. The record is from RNAcentral. Lineage: Bacteria; Bacillati; Actinomycetota; Actinomycetes; Mycobacteriales; Gordoniaceae.